This 487-nucleotide ribosomal RNA is filed under the name uncultured bacterium. RNAcentral describes it as "bacterial SSU rRNA". It matches the Rfam family "Bacterial small subunit ribosomal RNA", at positions 28 to 477 of the family's 1533-position model. The record is from RNAcentral.
GAUGAACGCUGGCGGCGUGCCUAAUACAUGCAAGUCGAACGCAUUGUGGUUGAAAUGAUAUGAAGAACUUGUUCAGAUUUGAUUUUCAACAUUGCAAUGAGUGGCGAACGGGUGAGUAACACGUGGGAAACCUACCUCUUAGCAGGGGAUAACAUUUGGAAACAAAUGCUAAUACCGUAUAAUAAUUAAAACCGCAUGGUUUUAGUUUAAAAGAUGGUCUUGCUAUCACUAAGAGAUGGUCCCGCGGUGUAUUAGUUAGUUGGUGAGGUAAUGGCUCACCAAGACAAUGAUACAUAGCCGAGUUGAGAGACUGACCGGCCACAAUGGGACUGAGACACGGCCCAUACUCCUACGGGAGGCAGCAGUAGGGAAUCUUCCACAAUGGACGAAAGUCUGAUGGAGCAACGCCGCGUGUGUGAUGAAGGUUUCGGCUCGCAAAACACUGUUGUAAGAGAAGAAUGACAUUGAGAGUAACUGUUCAAUGUGU